This 253-nucleotide ribosomal RNA is filed under the name uncultured bacterium. RNAcentral's name for it is "partial 16S ribosomal RNA". It matches the Rfam family "Bacterial small subunit ribosomal RNA", at positions 524 to 776 of the family's 1533-position model. The record is from RNAcentral.
UACGUAGGGUGCAAGCGUUGUCCGGAAUUAUUGGGCGUAAAGAGCUCGUAGGCGGUUCGUCACGUCGGCUGUGAAAACCUGAGGCUCAACCUCAGGCCUGCAGUCGAUACGGGCGGACUCGAGUUCGGCAGGGGAGACUGGAAUUCCUGGUGUAGCGGUGAAAUGCGCAGAUAACAGGAGGAACACCGGUGGCGAAGGCGGGUCUCUGGGCCGAUACUGACGCUGAGGAGCGAAAGCGUGGGGAGCGAACAGG